RNAcentral lists this ribosomal RNA (468 nucleotides) under uncultured bacterium. RNAcentral describes it as "partial 16S ribosomal RNA". It matches the Rfam family "Bacterial small subunit ribosomal RNA", at positions 28 to 507 of the family's 1533-position model. The record is from RNAcentral.
GACGAACGCUGGCGGCGUGCUUAACACAUGCAAGUCGAACGGAAAGGCCCUGCUUUUGCGCGGUGCUCGUGCGGCGAACGGGUGUGUAUAACGUGAGUAUCAUGCACUUGACUUUGGGAUAACUUCAGGGAACUGGGGCUCAUACAGGAUAGGAGCUACUGCUGCAUGGUGGGGGUUGGUAAGUUUCGGUGGUUGGGGCUGGACUCGCGGCUUAUCAGCUUGUUGGUGAGGUAGUGGAUUUCCAAGGCUUUGACGGAUAGCCGGCGUUAGAGGGUGACCGGCCACAUGGGGACUGAGGGAGGGCCCAGACGCGUACGUGACGCAACAGUGGGGAGCAUGACGCAACGGGGCGAAGCGAGAGGCAACGACGCUGCGUGCGGGAUGACGUCUUUCGAGUGGUAAACCAAUGUGGCCGGUAACGAAGCGUGAGUGACGGUAAUUGGUAAAGAAGCACCGGCUAACUACGUG